GACAGAGGUCCCGAGCGUUAGGCGGAAUCACUGGGCUUAAAGCGUGUGUAGGCGGAUCGUUAAGUGCCUUGUGAAAUCCCAUGGCUUAACCAUGGAACUGCUUGGCAUACUGGCGGUCUUGAGCCACUCAGGGGCAACCGGAACAAAUGGUGGAGCGGUGAAAUGCGUAGAUAUCAUUUGGAACGCCAAUGGUGAAAACAGGUUGCUGGGAGUGUGCUGACGCUGAGACACGAAAGCCAGGGGAGCGAACAGG
RNAcentral lists this ribosomal RNA (253 nucleotides) under uncultured bacterium. RNAcentral describes it as "partial 16S ribosomal RNA". It matches the Rfam family "Bacterial small subunit ribosomal RNA", at positions 524 to 776 of the family's 1533-position model. The record is from RNAcentral.